Molecule: long non-coding RNA, 5126 nt
Filed under: Phoenix dactylifera (date palm)
Lineage: Eukaryota; Viridiplantae; Streptophyta; Magnoliopsida; Arecales; Arecaceae
Description: long non-coding RNA (PDAC_LNC001145)
Source: RNAcentral
GAUGAAAGAAAUCCAACGUAUCAGCCACCAAAUGCCGGAACGGAAACGCACGAAAAAGAACCAAUAAUUCCAGAAUUGUAAAACGUAGGAUGGAUUCAUGAAGAAACCUAAUCAUUCCAAAUCAACUCCAACAGGCAAAGAUGAACAAAAUCCUACGAAUCAAACAGAAACCUUUGAAGAAGAGCAAAUAAUUGAUGAAUUCAUCAAGAAUUCGAGAUCACUCCAAGGCAAGUGCAUCGACCGACAAUAACUCAAAAUCCGACGAAUUAACCACAAAAUAUCAAGAAACCCUUAAGUUUCACCAGAAGUGCAAGACCAUGAAAAGUUGUAACAGCAGGAGUGAUGAUUAACACAUUCUGACAAGCAAGGCUAAAGGAAAAAAGAUUAUCAAUACGAUCAAUAAUACCUCCAAAGGCGAGCGACCGCCUCUAUACAAAUCAUCUCUCGCAAACAUUGACGAUCUAUAGCACAUUAAUUCUGAUGACAAUUUAGGUUCAAAUCUGAUCCUAAAUAACAUACUAUUGAGAAGAUAAAAGUCAGCAAAUAGAGACAACCAUACAUAUGGAAAACAAGAGAUAAUAAAAACCUCAGAUCCCCCACAAAAAAGUGCAUCCAAGAACCUCCAAGAAACAUGGCUGCAAGAUUGCAAUAAUAAUACAGAAAGCAACGAACAUCCAUCCUAAACAAAAUGUUCAUAAAAAAUGUUGAUUUACACAAAUAGAAUCGCUAUCAAAUCGAGAAAAACCAUAACUCAAAAAACAAGUCCUUUACGAUAUUUAUGGUACCUUGCCUUAAAUUAUCCCAACCAAUGUAGCCCCUGAGUAACUGCAACAAGUAAUAAUUGACAUCUACCUCAUCAGGAGUAUGAAUAAAAUGACACCAUGUAUCAGAAACACAAUCAGAAUCACUAUCCCAACCAUAAAUUUCUAAACAAGAUGGAAGGGAAACAUCUGCGCCAAUUGCCAAAUAAUGAAACCUACAAUUAAAUAAGCACGACAGAAUAAAGCAAUUCAAAUACGAACCACCUUGCAAAGUACUCAAUACCGGGUCAUCCCUAAACAAGAAUAAUCUCUCAUAACCUGAAUAAACAACCUUAAACUAAAUAACAUAUAUAGAAAUAACAAAGAUAAAUAGGUACACAAAUAUAUAAAUGAAUGAAUGAAAAAAUAUCCAAGAGAUGAAAAAAAGGGUUGCCAUUCAAACUCUAAUUGCUUGUUUGAGGUGCGGCAGAAGAUGAAAACAUACACAUCAAACUCUAAUUGCUUGCUUGAAGUGAUUGGAUACAUUAUAUAGCAACCAACAACCCAACAAAAGUGCAGCCACUUAUGCCAAAGUACACAAUCUUCAGCAGCAGACCACCAUAUAAUAGAAGCAACUGCCGAAAAAGGAUGUAAAUGUCACCGUUAAGCAAGUUCUGAAAACUCCAGGCAGCGAAGAAUAGAAGGAAAUACAAUACGAUACUCAUCACGAAUAUCGCAAAAGCCCAUGGUAAAAUUAAUGUUAACUCCUCAUAAACACAAUCCCUCCGGCAACAACAACAAAUCACAAAAUACUGAGGAGAUGAGACAGCUGAAGGACACAUCUUUGCAAAAUAGGAUCGCAUAUUGCCACAAACUAGAUUGGCCAAAUCGCACUACAUGAACAAAAAUUAAGAUACAUAUCACAAUCAAGUGGAGAAGCCCCCUUAUGAGAAAUCAAUCUUAACUCCAGCCUCUGCAGCACUUGGUAUUCUCAUCAGCUGAAGCUCGAAAACCAUGGUCAAAUACAUCAAAACUAGAACCACUUUCAGGCUGCUUAAUGAUACCACUAUGAUGCCUCUUCAACCAUAUAUGAUAAUAUCAAAAGAAAGGAAUCGUGCGCCAACCGAACACAUGGAAUCCAUAGAACCAGGGAAAAAAGAAGCUGUCUAUUUAAUCAUAUGAUAAAUAAUGCUAAACCAAAAGAAAAUUCCAGCCAACUCUUAAGAACACUAAUAGAAUCAAAGAGCACAACAGAUGUGCCAAUCAACCCGAAUCUACCCCCGCAAUCCUCAAUUAACCGAACCAAGAACUGCAAAUCCUCGAAGAACAAUAAAUUCCAAAAUCUGAGAAGCAUGAGUUGAAUACCUCACAAAGUGUUUCAACCAAAGACAACCCAAAUCCAGCAAAUAAACCACCAAAGAUAGAACAGAAACCCUCGAAAGAAGAACAAAUGAUUCCAGAUCCGAAAAGCGCAGGACAAAUUUAUCAAGAAACCCUAGCAAGGGACCAACCCGACAGCCGAAGAUCAAAUGGAACCCUCGAAGAAGAACCAACAAUUCCAGAUUCUGUAAAACACAGGACAGACUCAUCAAGAAACAAUAAUCCCCCAAAAUCAACUGCUCCAGCCAAGGGUGAAAGAAAUCCAACGAAUCAACCUCCAAAGGCCGGAACGGAAACCCACAAAAAAGAACCAAUAAUUCCAGUUUCUGUAAAACGUUGGAUGGAUUCAUGAAGAAACCUAAUCAUUCCAAAUCAACUGCAACCGGCAAAGAUGAACAAAAUCCAACGAAUCAACUACCAAAGGUCCAACGGUAACCCUUGAAGAAGAGAAAAUAAUUGACGAAUUCAUCGAAAAUUCGAGAUCACUCCACAUCAAGCGCAUCAACCGAUAAUAACUCAAAUGCGAUGAAUUAACCACGAAACAGCAAGAAACCUGGAAGUAGACAACCAUAUGUAUGGAAAACAAGAGGUAAAAUAGCCUCAGAACCCCCACGAAAAAGUGCCUCCAAGAACCUCCAAGAAACUUGGUUGCAAGACUGCAAUAAUAAUACAGAAAGCAACGAACAUCCAUCCUAAACAAAAUGUUCAAAAAAAAAUGCCGAUUUACACAAUUAGAAUCGCUAUCAAAUGCAGAAAAACCAUAACUCAAAGAACAAGUCCUUUACAAAAUUGAUGGAAACUUGCCUUAUCGAUUAUCCCACCAAUGUAGCCCCUGAGUAACGGCAACAAGUAAUAAUUGACAUCUACCUCAUCAAGAAUACGAAAAAAAUGGCACUUCAUAUAUCAGAAUCACUAACCCAACCAUAAAUUUCUAAACAAGAUGGAAGUGAAACAUAUGAGCCAAUUGGCAAAUAAUGAAACCUAUAAUUAAAUAAGAAUGACAGAAUAAAGCAAUUCAAAUACGAACCACCUUGCAAAGUACUCUAUACAGGGGCAUCACUAAACAAGAAGAAUCUCUCAUGACCUGAAUGAACAACAUUAAACCAAAUAAAAUAUAUAUAAAUAACAAAGAUAUAUAGGUACACAGAUAUAUAAAUGAAUGCAUGAAAAAAUAUCCAAGUGAAAAAAAGGGUUGCCAUGCAAACUCUAAUUGCUUGCUUGACGUGCAGCAGAAGAUCCACAUCAAACUUGGGAAUGCUUCAAGAAGUGAUUGGAAACAGUAUAUAGCAACCAACAACCCAGCAAAAGUGCAGCCACUUAUGCCAAAGGACACAAGCAGACCACCAUAUAAAACAAGCAACUACCAAAAAUGCAUGCAAAUGUCACCGGUAAACAAGUUCUGAAAACCCCAGACAGCAAAGAAUAGAAGGAAAUAUAAUACGAUACUCAUCACCACUAUCACAAAAGCCUAUGGUAAAAUUAAUGCUAACUCCUCAUAAACACAAUCCCUCCGGCAACAACAACAAAUCACAAAAUACUGAAGAGAUGUGACAGCCGAACGACACAUCUUUGCAAAAUAGGAUCGCACAUUGCCACAAACUAGAUUGGCCAAAUCACACUACAUGAACAUAAAUUAAGAUGCAUAUCACAAUCAAGUGGAGAAGCCACCCUAUGAGAAAUCAAUCUUAACUCCAGCCUCUGUAGCACCUGGUAUUCUCAUCAACUGAAGCUCGAAAACCAUGGCCAAAUACAUCAAAACUAGAACCACUUUCUGGCUGCUUAAUGAUACCACUACGAUGCCUCUCCAACCAUAAAUGACAAUAUCAAAUGAGAGGAUUCAUGCACCAACCGAACACAAGGAAUCCACAGAACCAUAUAAGACCGGCAAUGCUUAGCCAAAAUAAAUAUCUAGCCAACUCUUAAGAACACUAAUUGAAUCAAAGAGAACAAUAGAUUCGACAAUCAACCCGAAACCACCCCUGAAUUCCUCAAUUAACUGAACCAAGAACUAGAAAUCCUCGAAGAAGAACAAUAAAUUCCAAAAUCUGAGAAGCAUGAGUUGAAUACCUCACAAAGUGUUUCACUUUCAUCCAACGACAACCCAAAUCCAGCGAAUAAACCACCACAGAUAGAACAGAAACCCUCGAAAGAAGAACAAAUGAUUCCAUAUCCGAAAAGGGCAGGACAAAUUCCGCAACAAACCCUAGCAAGGGACCAACCCAACAGCCGAAGAUCAAAUGGAACCCUCGAAAAAGAACCAACAAUUCCAGAUUCUGUAAAAUGCAGGAUGGAUUCAUCAAGAAACAAUAAUCUCCCCAAAUCAACUGCUCCAGCCUAGGAUGAAACAAAUCCAACGAAUCAGCCACCAAAGGCUGGAACGGAAACCCACGAAAAAGAACCAAUAANNNNNNNNNNNNNNNNNNNNCCAGAUUCUGUAAAACGUAUUCAUCAAGAAACAAUAAUCCCCCCAAAUCAUCUGCACCAGCCUAGGAUGAAAGAAAUCCAACGUAUCAGCCACCAAAUGCCGGAACGGAAAUCCACGAAGAAGAACCAAUAAUUCCAGAUUCUGUAAAACGCAGGACAUUAAACAAUGAUCACCCCAAAUCAACUCCUCCAGCCUAGAAUGAAAGAAAUCCAACGAAUCAGCCACCAAAAGCCGGAACGGAAACCCGCGAAGAAGAACCAAUAUUUCCAAAUUCUGUAAAACGUAGGAUGGACUCAUGAAGAAACCUAAUCAUUCUAAAUCAACUGCAACCGGCAAAGAUGAACAAAAUCCAACGAAUCAACUACCAAGGGUCCAACGGUAACCCUUGAAGAAGAGAAAAUAAUUGACGAAUUUGUCAAGAAUUCGAGAUCAAUCCACGAAACAGAAAGAAACCCUUAAGCGCACGAUAACUCAAAAUGCAGCAAGAAACCCUUAAGCGCUCGGUCGACCGAUGAUAACCCAAAACUCAGCGAUAAAAUUACUCACCGGAGCGAAGGCCACCGGGCAACCUACACCACCCC